GGGUGCGAUCAUACCAGCGUUAAUGCACCGGAUCCCAUCAGAACUCCGCAGUUAAGCGCGCUUGGGCUGGAGUAGUACUGGGAUGGGUGACCUCCCGGGAAGUCCUAGUGUUGCACCCUGCCCUUUUGCAGUGGAUGGGAGCGGCACUUGUGUAUGCUAAUUCCUCUUCUCGAUCGUGUGACGCAGCACCGGGGAGAGCUCCACACUGCGCCCACGGUGCCCGCGGAACUUACGCCUUUUUCUUCAACCUUGCCUCGAUUAUUGUUUUAUGUAGAAGCUCUUUUCCUCCAUUUGCCCGCGCGCGAGAAGGAAAGCCGGGCGCCCCUCGAGGGCGGGAUUACGUGGAGAGAGAAGAGGAGCAAAUACCGCGUCGGUCGACUUCGGGCACGCUUUCCUCGCUCUCGUAGCCCUCCGGGCCGUGCCGGGUGGUCGGAAGCCUCCAUUUAAGAGGGGGAGGACAUGGGAUCCUUGC
RNAcentral lists this ribosomal RNA (472 nucleotides) under Keteleeria fortunei. Lineage: Eukaryota; Viridiplantae; Streptophyta; Pinopsida; Pinales; Pinaceae. The record is from RNAcentral.